GACGUAGGAGGCGAGCGUUAUCCGGAUUCACUGGGCGUAAAGCGCAUGUAGGCGGUUCGAUAAGUCCGCUGUUAAAGCCCCCGGCUCAACUGGGGGAGGUCAGUGGAGACUAUAGGACUUGAGGGCAACAGAGGCACGUGGAACUCCCGGUGUAGCGGUGGAAUGCGUAGAGAUCGGGAAGAACACCAGUGUCGAAGGCGACGUGCUGGGUUGCGACUGACGCUGAGAUGCGAAAGUGUGGGGAGCAAACGGG
This 253-nucleotide ribosomal RNA is filed under the name uncultured bacterium. RNAcentral describes it as "partial 16S ribosomal RNA". It matches the Rfam family "Bacterial small subunit ribosomal RNA", at positions 524 to 776 of the family's 1533-position model. The record is from RNAcentral.